UCUGAGGUCACUUGGAUGGCAUGGACCAAGAAACAGGAGGCAGGAAAAGUGAAUCCAAGUGUUUAUGGAGAUCAGGAAUGCAGCUUGAUGAAGCUCUGACAGAGCAGAGGGAGGUUCUGGGCAGUACAGGGGUCUCUGUCUUCUUGCUUGUACUCCCCAAGCAUUCUCCUGCCAGCCAACAUGGGCACUAGUGAAUCAGUCACCAAUAGAAUGGGACCAAAGACAGCCAUCAGCAAGUCAAGCCAACUACCAUAAUGGGGUGCCAGAGGUGAGGCAGGGGCACUAGGUGGAUCUAGACCC
RNAcentral lists this long non-coding RNA (300 nucleotides) under Fukomys damarensis (Damara mole-rat). RNAcentral's name for it is "lncRNA (ENSFDAG00000023362.1)". Lineage: Eukaryota; Metazoa; Chordata; Mammalia; Rodentia; Bathyergidae. The record is from RNAcentral.